AGAGUUUGAUCAUGGCUCAGAGUGAACGCUGGCGGCGUGCUUAACACAUGCAAGUCGAACGAGAACGGUCCUUCGGGAUGUCAGCUAAGCGGCGGACGGGUGAGUAAUGUAUAGUUUACGUGCCUCUUGGAAAGGGAUAACAGUUGGAAACGGCUGCUAAUACCUUAUACUCCUUCUAUCUUAAUGAUAGUUGGGAAACGAAUUUUGCCAAGAGAUCGGACUAUAUUGUAUCAGUUAGUUGGUGAGGUAAUGGCUCACCAAGACUAUGACACAUAGCUGGUUUGAGAGGAUGAUCAGCCACACUGGAACUGAGACACGGUCCAGACUCCUACGGGAGGCAGCAGUGGGGAAUAUUGCACAAUGGAGGAAACUCUGAUGCAGCAACGCCGCGUGGAGGAUGACGCAUUUCGGUGUGUAAACUCCUUUUAUAUAGGAAGAUAAUGACGGUACUAUAUGAAUAAGCACCGGCUAACUCCGUGCCAGCAGCCGCGGUAAUACGGGAGGGUGCAAGCGUUACUCCGAAUCACUGGGCGCAAAGCGCGCGCAGGCGGUCUUUUUAGUUUGAAGUGAAAUCCUAUGGCUCAA
This 585-nucleotide ribosomal RNA is filed under the name uncultured bacterium. RNAcentral's name for it is "bacterial SSU rRNA". It matches the Rfam family "Bacterial small subunit ribosomal RNA", at positions 8 to 612 of the family's 1533-position model. The record is from RNAcentral.